UAGCUAGUUGGUAGGGUAAAGGCCUACCAAGGCGACGAUCGGUAGCUGGUCUGAGAGGAUGGCCAGCCACACUGGAACUGAGACACGGUCCAGACUCCUACGGGAGGCAGCAGUGGGGAAUAUUGGACAAUGGGGGCAACCCUGAUCCAGCAAUGCCGCGUGUGCGAAGAAGGCCUGAGGGUUGUAAAGCACUUUCAGUGGGGAGGAGAGUUGAUUGGUUAAGAGCUGGUUAAUUGGACGUUACCCACAGAAGAAGCACCGGCUAACUCCGUGCCAGCAGCCGCGGUAAUACGGAGGGUGCGAGCGUUAAUCGGAAUUACUGGGCGUAAAGGGUGCGUAGGUGGUUUAUUAAGUUAUGUGUAAAAUCCCUGGGCUCAACCUGGGCAGGUCAUAUAAUACUGGUAGACUCGAGUAUGGGAGAGGGUAGUGGAAUUUCCGGUGUAGCGGUGAAAUGCGUAGAGAUCGGAAGGAACACCAGUGGCGAAGGCGGCUACCUGGCCUAAUACUGACACUGAGGCACGAAAGCGUGGGGAGCAAACAGGAUUAGAUACCCUGGUAGUCCACGCUGUAAACGAUGUCAACUAGCUGUUGGUUAUAUGAAUAUAAUUAGUGGCGC
This 616-nucleotide ribosomal RNA is filed under the name uncultured Legionella sp. Its description in RNAcentral is "bacterial SSU rRNA". It matches the Rfam family "Bacterial small subunit ribosomal RNA", at positions 242 to 849 of the family's 1533-position model. The record is from RNAcentral. Lineage: Bacteria; Pseudomonadati; Pseudomonadota; Gammaproteobacteria; Legionellales; Legionellaceae.